This 94-nucleotide ribosomal RNA is filed under the name Vibrio parahaemolyticus. Its description in RNAcentral is "partial 16S ribosomal RNA". It matches the Rfam family "Bacterial small subunit ribosomal RNA", at positions 1 to 98 of the family's 1533-position model. The record is from RNAcentral. Lineage: Bacteria; Pseudomonadati; Pseudomonadota; Gammaproteobacteria; Vibrionales; Vibrionaceae.
AAAUUGAAGAGUUUGAUCAUGGCUCAGAUUGAACGCUGGCGGCAGGCCUAACACAUGCAAGUCGAGCGGAAACGAGUCAUCUGAACCUUCGGGG